CUCUCUCUCUCUCUCUCUCUUAAUAUUGGCAAACAAGGGCACGCCCGCCCGCGAGCGCGCUCUCUAUUUCAAUUUCUUUAGAGUGAAAUUCAGCCCCCAGCGAAGAAAAGAGAAAAGCGGAGGAACCGAAAACAACCGUGAGCGGAUGAUCUGCACGGAGGGAAAAUAACUUCCAUUCAGAUUUGGGGAUUUUUCAUUUUCAUUUAUAUGUUUCUAGGGUUUUGUCUCUGUUUCAAUUUGAUGAUUGUCCUCUCUCUCUCUCUCUCUCU
Molecule: unclassified non-coding RNA, 269 nt
Filed under: Hevea brasiliensis (rubber tree)
Lineage: Eukaryota; Viridiplantae; Streptophyta; Magnoliopsida; Malpighiales; Euphorbiaceae
Source: RNAcentral